UCUGUCUGUCUGUCUAUCAAUAUAUAUCAGACUUUACAUGUGAAAUAAAUAAACAAUUAUGAAUUUCACAUUAGCAUGAAAUUUGAUUACCAUUUUAAGCAAUUACUGACAAAAACCUAAUAUGGUGUUUGUAUAACAAAAUAUACAUAAUAAAGCAAAUUUAAAAAUGUUCUAUGUUCAGAAGCCCUUCAGAUACAAGAGUGUACAGAAGCCUGUUGAGGAGCAUUCAUACACAUUAACUUUUAUUAUAAUAAACAAGUCACUCUUCAGAUCAAUGUGACCUACAUUGGCAACAGAGGAAACAAUGAGUAAAAAACUGUGAAGAAGAAAAGCAGAAGCUACUUUAAAUCAACUGAACAGCAUGUGAUGCCAAGUAAUAUAAGUUUAUACAAGUCAGUCAAACUUUCCAUAUGAGCUUUGAGUUUAAUUGAUGCAUUGAUUAUACAAGUGGAUAUCUUUAUUGAGAGUAUUAUAGGAUCCAGAGGUCACAUGAUCCAGAGGAACAAGGAAGCAAAAGGAUAUUUCCAAGAAAUAUUAUUACACCCUUAUAUCUGCUCGUUGUUAUGAGGUAUAACUGGAAAAUAGGGAGGAAAAAAAUGGGUUAAAUAAUGAGAAAAUUGGGAGACCACACUAAAUAAUCUCCUAACACAGUGAAUCUAAAUAAAAAGAUGAUAUGUUAUCAUGCGAUAUGAGAGGCGAAUAAGACAAUCGUUUGAUUUCGGUUUACAGGAAAAGGUUAACCAGUAGAAAUCCAUAAUUAGUAACAUCUUAAAAUCAAUAAAAUCUGGACACACUCCAGAACAAAGACAACCUUCAUCCUAGACCAGGGAUUGGCUGUUCAGCCUGAGUUUUCACGAAUCCACACCUGUGUACGACCAUGAGAACAUGACAUAAUUACAGAACCUUAUAUAAGAGCGGAGGAGGGACACAGCCUCUUUAUUGUGCGCACCUGUCGGCUUGGUCACAGUUUGAAGCAAAUUUCAUUCUCUGUGGUAUCAUUUCUGAUUACAGUUUUCUCUCCAUCAUGAAGUGGACGAUCAUAAGAUUCUGCAUGUUGGCUCUGCUGGCCUCCCAGGCUCAGAGUAACGUGACAACGACUGUGACAAUCGACUUGGCAACAUCUCAUAAUACUUCAGUUCCAUGGACAAAUUCAACAACUGUCAAGAUUUCAACUACAACUCAACCACCUGUUCCAACAACCAAUCUUACUUUACCCACAAUAACGAGCAAGAAUACUCCAGGUUCAACUCAAGCCAAUGGGACGACUUUGCAGCAAAAUGUGACAACUGCAUCAGGUCAGCCAAACACAACGUCUCCAUCUCCAAAGUCCACCAUGAGUCAAACACCUGGUUUUUCAAGCAGAAAUACAGAUUCGACCACAUUCACAAAUUCCUCAACUACAGUGAAUGCCACUAUGACAACAGUAGGACAGACCACAAUUGGGACAACUAAGUCAUCCAGCGACUCACUGACAGUUACCAUCAUCAACUAUAUUCUGCCCGUCCUGCUGUACAAGAUGUUGAAUUGAGCAUUAUUUGAUUCAGUCCUGGAUUAAAUCUAAUUUGGAAUGUUUUGUAAAGUACUGUAGAAUAAUAGAAUAUAAGUAAUAUAUAAAAGUACAGACUAUAUGUAUCUAGUGAGCAUGUAACUGACUAUUACAUUUACAGUAGCAUAAGCCAAAACUGAACAUCAGAUAAUAAUAUUAUUGAUUGAAUGUUUGUUAUGAUUGCACACACCUGCUUGAUGCAUCACAAAUGAGGACUUCCUCAAAAAGCACGUAAGAUUUCAAAUGAAAAAUGCAUAGUUUAAAAUAAUGUCUGAAAUAAAGAAGAAGAAAAAAUGA
Long non-coding RNA from Carassius gibelio (silver crucian carp), 1843 nucleotides. RefSeq lists it as uncharacterized. Lineage: Eukaryota; Metazoa; Chordata; Actinopteri; Cypriniformes; Cyprinidae. The record is from RefSeq and is a predicted model, not a curated record. The transcript is spliced from 2 exons.